GCGCAGGACUAGGAUGGGUUCUGAUUGCAAUGUGUGUUGUGUUUCUUGCCAUGCGUGUCAAUGCCAAGUAAUGAGUGGGGAGAGCUCCAGGGAUAAUGAUUGUUUCUGUCCCCGGGUAGACGAAUAUGUCUGGGUGCAUCCAUUUGUGGGCUGAAAAAUUGGUGGUUGGUUGCAGCUCCCUGCCUACGAGGCAAUUGGGGUGUAGCCCUGACACGCAGACGA
RNAcentral lists this ribosomal RNA (222 nucleotides) under Prorocentrum lima. RNAcentral describes it as "partial large subunit ribosomal RNA". The record is from RNAcentral. Lineage: Eukaryota; Dinophyceae; Prorocentrales; Prorocentraceae.